UACGGGGGGAGCAAGCGUUGUUCGGAUUUACUGGGCGUAAAGGGCGCGUAGGCGGUCAGCACAAGUCAGUUGUGAAAUCUCCGGGCUUAACUCGGAAAGGUCAACUGAUACUGUGCGACUAGAGUGCGGAAGGGGCAACUGGAAUUCUCGGUGUAGCGGUGAAAUGCGUAGAUAUCGAGAGGAACACCGGUGGCGAAGGCGCACAUCUGGCCCGAUACUGACGCUGAGGCGCGAAAGCUAGGGGAGCAAACGGG
RNAcentral lists this ribosomal RNA (254 nucleotides) under uncultured bacterium. RNAcentral's name for it is "partial 16S ribosomal RNA". It matches the Rfam family "Bacterial small subunit ribosomal RNA", at positions 524 to 776 of the family's 1533-position model. The record is from RNAcentral.